RNAcentral lists this ribosomal RNA (808 nucleotides) under uncultured bacterium. RNAcentral's name for it is "bacterial SSU rRNA". It matches the Rfam family "Bacterial small subunit ribosomal RNA", at positions 8 to 806 of the family's 1533-position model. The record is from RNAcentral.
AGAGUUUGAUCGGGCUCAGGAUGAACGCUAGCGGGAGGCUUAACACAUGCCAGUCGAGGGGCAGCACGAGAUAGCAAUAUUUUGGUGGCGACCGGCGCACGGGUGAGUAACACGUAUGCAACCUACCCUGUACAGGGGGAUAGCCCGGAGAAAUUCGGAUUAAUACCCCAUAAUAAUAUUGAGAGGCAUCUUUUGAUAUUUAAAGCUUCGGCGGUACAAGAUGGGCAUGCGCAACAUUAGCUAGUUGGUAGGGUAACGGCCUACCAAGGCUACGAUGUUUAGGGGACCUGAGAGGGUGAUCCCCCACACUGGUACUGAGACACGGACCAGACUCCUACGGGAGGCAGCAGUGAGGAAUAUUGGUCAAUGGGCGCAAGCCUGAACCAGCCAUCCCGCGUGAAGGAAGAAGGCGCUAUGCGUCGUAAACUUCUUUUCCAGAGGAAGAAAACCCCCGACGAGUCGGGGCUUGCCGGUACUCUGGGAAUAAGCAUCGGCUAACUCCGUGCCAGCAGCCGCGGUAAUACGGAGGAUGCGAGCGUUAUCCGGAUUUAUUGGGUUUAAAGGGUGCGUAGGUGGAUUAAUAAGUCAGUGGUGAAAACCUUCAGCUUAACUGGAGACUUGCCAUUGAUACUGUUAGUCUUGAGUACGGUCAAGGUAGGCGGAAUGUGUAAUGUAGCGGUGAAAUGCUUAGAUAUUACACAGAACACCCGAUUGCGAAGGCAGCUUACUGGACCAUUACUGACGCUGAUGCACGAAAGCGUGGGGAGCGAACAGGAUUAGAUACCCCUGGUAGUCCCACGCCCGUAAA